RNAcentral lists this long non-coding RNA (467 nucleotides) under Gossypium barbadense (sea-island cotton). RNAcentral's name for it is "long non-coding RNA (GBAR_LNC019913)". The record is from RNAcentral. Lineage: Eukaryota; Viridiplantae; Streptophyta; Magnoliopsida; Malvales; Malvaceae.
GGGCAACCAAGUGCUAAUCCCUAUGGCCAGCCUGCGCAGCCCAGUGCUAACCCAUAUGGCCAAAAUGGGCACUCAAGUGCUAAUCCCUAUGGCCAGCCUGUGCAGCCCAGUGCUAACCCAUACAGCCAAAACGGGCAGCCAAGUGCUAAUCCCUAUGGCCUGCCUGCGCCACCCAGUGCAAACCCAUAUGGCCAGUCAAGUGCUAAUCCCUAUGGCCAGCCAACACAACCAAAUGCUAUUCCUUAUGGUCAAUCUGCACAACCAAAUGCUAAUCCGUAUGGUCAACCUGCACAACCAAAUGCUAAUCCAUACAGCCAACCUGUACAGGUACAUGCUAAUCCAUAUGGCCAACCUGCUCAGCCGAAUGCUAAUCCAUACAGCCAGCCUACACAGCCGAAUGCUAAUCCAUACAGCCAGCCUACACAGCCGAAUGCUAAUCCAUACGGCCAACCUGUACAGCCAAGUGC